Molecule: unclassified non-coding RNA, 170 nt
Organism: Ursus americanus (American black bear)
Lineage: Eukaryota; Metazoa; Chordata; Mammalia; Carnivora; Ursidae
Source: Ensembl
UCAGCAGCCCUGGAAUCUGAAAUCCUUUAUUUAUCCAUCUAACAAGAAUAGCGCAGACAGCAGCAGUUGGUUCUCCCCAACACUGUCUCCCAUGAGCCUAACCCAGCCCUGACCUCUCGGAACCGGCAGGAGUGCGGCUGUGGCCACCAGGACACUUAGGUGGGGACUCG